This 167-nucleotide unclassified non-coding RNA is filed under the name soil metagenome. RNAcentral describes it as "partial internal transcribed spacer 1". The record is from RNAcentral.
AAGAGUUGCAACAACUCCAACCCAUUGUUAACCUACUGUCACUUCGUUUCCUCGGCGGGCGGCUCGCCCUAACCGCGACCCCUGCGGGACGGGAGCGGCCCGCCAGAGGGACCCCUGAACUCUGUUUCUUAUAUGUACUUCUGUGAGUAUAACCAUAAAUAAGUCUA